This 253-nucleotide ribosomal RNA is filed under the name uncultured bacterium. RNAcentral's name for it is "partial 16S ribosomal RNA". It matches the Rfam family "Bacterial small subunit ribosomal RNA", at positions 524 to 776 of the family's 1533-position model. The record is from RNAcentral.
UACGAAGGGGGCUAGCGUUGCUCGGAAUUACUGGGCGUAAAGCGCACGUAGGCGGCUUCUUAAGUCGGUGGUGAAAUCCUGGAGCUCAACUCCAGAACUGCCUUCGAUACUGGGAAGCUCGAGUCCGGGAGAGGUGAGUGGAACUGCGAGUGUAGAGGUGAAAUUCGUAGAUAUCAGGAAGAACACCAAUGGCGAAAGCAGCUCUCUGGGACGGUACUGACGCUGAGACGCGAAAGCGUGGGGAGCGAACAGG